Small nuclear RNA from Gorilla gorilla gorilla (western lowland gorilla), 107 nucleotides. NCBI's taxonomy places the organism in Eukaryota, Metazoa, Chordata, Mammalia, Primates, Hominidae. The record is from Ensembl.
GUGCUCCUCUUGGCAGCACAUAUGCAAAACCAGGAAAGACACAGAGAAGAUUAGCAUGGCCCUUAUGCAAGGAUGACACACACAUUUAUGAAGCAUUUUAUAUUUUU